AGAGUUUGAUCCUGGCUCAGAACGAACGCUGGCGGCGUGGAUAAGACAUGCAAGUCGAGCGCUGAUUUGGAGGUAGCAAUAUUUUCAAGUCGGAGCGGCGCAAGGGUGCGUAACACGUGGGAAUCUGCCUUGAAGUGUGGGAUAACUCCGAGAAAUCGGAGCUAAUACCGCAUGUGAUCGUGAGAUCAAAGUUGGGGAUCGUAAGACCUGACGCUUCAAGAUGAGCCCGCGGCCUAUCAGCUAGUUGGUGAGGUAAUGGCUCACCAAGGCUAAGACGGGUAGCUGGUCUGAGAGGACGACCAGCCACACUGGAACUGAGACACGGUCCAGACACCUACGGGUGGCAGCAGUCGAGAAUUUUUCUCAAUGGGCGAAAGCCUGAAGGAGCGACGCCGCGUGGGGGAUGAAUGGCUUCGGCCCGUAAACCCCUGUCAUUUGCGAACAAAUUAUUUUACCUAACACGUAAAGUAUUGAUUGUAGCGGAAGAGGAAGGGACGGCUAACUCUGUGCCAGCAGCCGCGGUAAUACAGAGGUCCCAAGCGUUGUUCGGAUUCACUGGGCGUAAAGGGUGCGUAGGCGGUGAGGUAAGUCUGACGUGAAAUCUCCGGGCUCAACCCGGAAACUGCGUUGGAUACUAUCACACUAGAGGAAUGGAGGGGAGACUGGAAUACUUGGUGUAGCAGUGAAAUGCGUAGAUAUCAAGUGGAACACCAGUGGCGAAGGCGAGUCUCUGGACAUUUCCUGACGCUGAGGCACGAAAGCCAGGGGAGCAAACGGGAUUAGAUACCCUAGUAGUCC
RNAcentral lists this ribosomal RNA (798 nucleotides) under uncultured bacterium. RNAcentral describes it as "bacterial SSU rRNA". It matches the Rfam family "Bacterial small subunit ribosomal RNA", at positions 8 to 796 of the family's 1533-position model. The record is from RNAcentral.